This is a long non-coding RNA of Pseudopipra pipra, 1083 nucleotides long. RefSeq lists it as uncharacterized. The transcript has 3 exons. The record is from RefSeq and is a predicted model, not a curated record. Lineage: Eukaryota; Metazoa; Chordata; Aves; Passeriformes; Pipridae.
UCUCAUUUUGGAAUUAGCCUGCCUGACUGGGUCUGUGCACUGUAGAGUAAUGUGCAGACUGGGAGAGAAGCAGUGUUUGUAUGUGGAAAGGGUUUGGUACUAGUCGAAAUAACUGCUCUUUUUUACAGUGACUGACAAGCAAUUUGGUGAGAGGCAUUUUAAACAGCAGGCACUUAAGAACUCCUUCAGUUGUUAGAGGUAGCCAAUAUACAGCAGAAAUGUGAUCUGUGCACAUAGUCAUGUGAGAGGGGUGAUAUGCACAUUCAUAAACCCACAGAGAAUUAUCUGGCAGCAUUGCAUCCACAGUCACAGUUGCUCUACAGUUAGUCUGCUCCAGCUGUGAAGAGCCAGAGGUCCUUUGGACUCCCAAAUAAUAUUUCAAAUGCACACUGCAGUGAAGCAGACACAGAGAGAAUUCCUCUUGUUCCAUAAACUUAUGUGAUACAUGCUUGCUUACAGAGUUCAUGCAUACACACAGUCCUUUAAAGAAAAAAUUUGCAUCAACGCUGACACAGGUUCUUAGUGCACACAGCAUUAUCAAGGCAGUUUUAAAUGGAGGAACGUAAAGACUCUGAAAAAUGGAUUUGUACUGAAGCAUCUUAAUCAGAACCUUUGGAGGGAAGGUUGUAAAUAAAGCUCAUAUUUCAUUUCAGCAAGAAAUCUAUCAUCCCUAUCAUGUCAUUGAAUUAUAACAGCAUGGAGUGACUUAUCUACACACGAACACUUCACGCUGAAGCACGUUAGUAGCAAAGGAAGAGACAAAGCCACAAGCAGCCUCUAAUAAAGUAGCAAGUGCUAAGUAUGAAGAGGUGUUUCUAUUUCAUGCAUUGGUUUUCAUUUAUGUACAUUUUAUAUAUAUUUUAAACCUUUCUGUACCUUUAUAAAUAAAGCCACUAGAAGCAUUGCCAGUGGGAUGUCUUCUGAAAAGCAGCAAGCCUUGCAGACUUCUCAUAGCUCUCUGUACAAGCUCCUGAAUACUAACAUAGGCUAAGAAGAUAACAUGGUCAUUCAAUGCACCUCAGCUGAUAGCAGCUCAUCAACCCACAAUCACUUGUCUGUGGGUCUAGUCCACAUACUGCGUCU